This 913-nucleotide ribosomal RNA is filed under the name uncultured archaeon. Its description in RNAcentral is "bacterial SSU rRNA". It matches the Rfam family "Archaeal small subunit ribosomal RNA", at positions 1 to 892 of the family's 1478-position model. The record is from RNAcentral.
UUCCGGUUGAUCCUGCCGGACCCUACUGCUAUCGGGGUGGGACUAAGACAUGCGAGUCGAGCGUCUCCAGCUAUGGUGAGACGCGGCAGACGGCUCAGUAACACGUGGCUAACCUACCCUCAGGACGGGGACAAACCCGGGAAACUGGGGCUAAUACCCGAUAGGCGAGGGCGCCUGGAAUGGUUCUUCACCCAAAGGGCUUUGGAAGCAUGCUUUUCAAAGUCGCCUGGGGAUGGGGCCGCGUCCGAUCAGGUUGUUGGUGAGGUAACGGCUCACCAAGCCUAUAACCGGUACGGGCCGUGAGAGCGGUAGCCCGGAGAUGGGCACUGAGACAAGGGCCCAGGCCCCACGGGGCGCAGCAGUCGCGAAAACUCCGCAAUGCACGAAAGUGUGACGGGGCUACCCCGAGUGCCGUCCGCUGAGGAUGGCUUUUCCUCGGUGUAAUUAGCCGGGGGAAUAAGGAGAGGGCAAGACUGGUGUCAGCCGCCGCGGUAAUACCAGCUCUCCGAGUGGUAGGGAUGAUUAUUGGGCUUAAAGCGUCCGUAGCCGGCUUAGCAAGUCUCCUGUUAAAUUCAGCGACCUAAUCGUUGAGCCGCGGGAGAUACUACUAGGCUAGGAGGCGGGAGAGGUCGACGGUAUUUCCGGGGUAGGGGUGAAAUCCUAUAAUCCCGGGAGGACCACCAGUGGCGAAGGCUGUCGACUAGAACGCGCUCGACGGUGAGGGACGAAAGCUGGGGGAGCGAACCGGAUUAGAUACCCGGGUAGUCCCAGCCGUAAACGAUGCGGGCUAGGUGUUGGGGUGGCUACGUGCCACUUCAGUGCCGCAGGGAAGCCAUUAAGCCCGCCGCCUGGGGAGUACGGUCGCAAGGCUGAAACUUAAAGGAAUUGGCGGGGGAGCACCACAAGGCGUGAA